CCUACGGGGGGCGGCAACCGGGAAUAUUGCGCAAUGGAGGAAACUCUGACGCAGCGACGCCGCGUGCGGGAUGAAGGCCUUCGGGUUGUAAACCGCUGUGGAGAGGGAUGAAUUUUGACAGUACCUCUCUAGAAAGCACCUGCUAACUACGUGCCAGCAGCCCCGGUC
Molecule: ribosomal RNA, 168 nt
Filed under: uncultured bacterium
Lineage: Bacteria
Description: partial 16S rRNA
Rfam family: Bacterial small subunit ribosomal RNA
Source: RNAcentral